RNAcentral lists this ribosomal RNA (475 nucleotides) under uncultured organism. RNAcentral describes it as "partial 16S ribosomal RNA". It matches the Rfam family "Bacterial small subunit ribosomal RNA", at positions 333 to 799 of the family's 1533-position model. The record is from RNAcentral.
ACACUCCUACGGGAGGCAGCAGUGGGGAAUUUUGGACAAUGGGCGAAAGCCUGAUCCAGCAAUGCCGCGUGAGUGAAGAAGGCCUUCGGGUUGUAAAGCUCUUUUGUCAGGGAAGAAACGGUGAAAGCUAAUAUCUUUUGCUAAUGACGGUACCUGAAGAAUAAGCACCGGCUAACUACGUACCAGCAGCCGCGGUAAUACGUAGGGUGCAAGCGUUAAUCGGAAUUACUGGGCGUAAAGCGUGCGCAGGCGGUUUUGUAAGUCUGAUGUGAAAUCCCCGGGCUCAACCUGGGAAUUGCAUUGGAGACUGCAAGGCUAGAAUCUGGCAGAGGGGGGUAGAAUUCCACGUGUAGCAGUGAAAUGCGUAGAUAUGUGGAGGAACACCGAUGGCGAAGGCAGCCCCCUGGGUCAAGAUUGACGCUCAUGCACGAAAGCGUGGGGAGCAAACAGGAUUAGAUACCCUUGUAGUCCCAUG